AAUAGUUUUAUGCCACAUCAGCAUUUUUAUCUUGAAUUUUAGCAUAUUCAACCUGAAAAAAAAUCAAAUCCAAAUUAAAAUCCUAAAAUUCAGGAUGAAAUUACUGUUGUGACAUAAAACUAUU
This is a non-coding RNA of Gossypium raimondii (Peruvian cotton), 124 nucleotides long. The record is from Rfam. NCBI's taxonomy places the organism in Eukaryota, Viridiplantae, Streptophyta, Magnoliopsida, Malvales, Malvaceae.